Molecule: long non-coding RNA, 1436 nt
Organism: Notolabrus celidotus (New Zealand spotty)
Lineage: Eukaryota; Metazoa; Chordata; Actinopteri; Labriformes; Labridae
Exons: 3
Source: RefSeq, a predicted model, not a curated record
CUCGAUUAGGCCGUGAUUUAUCCGAAAGAAAUAUAAUUAUAGCUCCAAAUAAAAUAAUCAGCAUUGAAGAGCGAUUUCCUUAACGAGAUGGAGCGGGGUGGAAGCCACGGAGUAGCAGCGCCUCAUUAGGGCCCUAAUGAGACUUUGGGGUGAUCCCGAUAAUUAUCGAAAUGUGUAAAAUAAGGAUCAAGUCAAAUAUGUGACCGCAGCACGAGCUGUUUUAUCAUUCAUAACCAGAACCAACAUUAGUCACGUGACUGACAGGGCGUCCCAAAGUGAUGCUGUCUUUACUGCAGGCUGCUCUUGAAGAAAUACAUCAUGGAUUUCUGGCUCAAAGGUUGGCUGCAUUUGGUUCCUUCAAUAGGACAUCAUGACAGAGGGAGAGGAGACUGGACAUCGGUGCACAGGACAAAGUGACACAGCAAAAAUAAAGGUUUCCUCAGUUUGCUUACACUCAAAUGUGACGCCUCAUUUCUCUCAGGGAUCAAGCCACUGUGGGAAUGUAGUCCUAGAAACAUCCACUGAAAGAGGACUUUACGGAUGCAGAUUCCAAAUGGGUUGUUCAAGGAACUAGUUCUUAUCACUUCGACUUUAAUUACAAACUUGAGCAAUCUAUGUACAUUAUAAGAAACAGAUUUAGGGACAGGCACAAGAAGAAAAGUGGAAGAUCUUAGUUUGCAUUUAAAUAAUUGAUUGAAAUGUUGAGAAUAAAAUGAGAGUAAAAGAUCUUCCUCUGUUGAUUGUCUUUUACACGUCCCUCAUACGUUUCUGUAAAAAUAGAAAGCACUGUAAUGUCAUCUUACUUCAAUUCAACCAAGCAUUGUACAAACAGCUGGUAAGUGAUGUGUAAUUGGAGAAAAGACAGCAGACAGAGUACGUUUGUGUUUGUUUAAUCGUGUCUAUGAAGUCAUGAAGACUAUGUUUUAGUAAGAAGAGUAAAGCCUGGAGAAAUAACUGAUCUAAACCGAAUGUUUUCAAGUCUUCUUCUUGGAUUUUACACAUGCGAGAGGAUCGAUCAGAUGUGGUGACACGUUAACAGUAAACAGUAGAAAUAAUCACAUCAAGAAAAGAGAACAGACUCAGUUCGGCUCCACGGUUGCAAACAGGGCCUGACGAAAGGAAUGGACAUUUAAAGCAAGUGAAAUCUCACAGUGAGAACAGAAACAGAGCAGAAAUCAUCCUUCAAGCUUCACUGAGUCCAAUAUGUUUCGAGCCUCUUUGAACUCCUCUGAUUCGUUUAAAUCCUCUUCUGUUUCCUGGGAAGACACAAACACACACACACAAGGGUUUUCUGUUAUUGCCAUUUCAGAAAAAUACAGCCACCUCCUGCACACGAGAUAAGGAGGAACAGCGAGGUACUUACAAAAAAAUCCACAACUUUAUCUUUAUCCACCUUUUUUGUGCCGCGGUUAGAAAAGCUUGAGGUCAUAUUUCAG